CACUAUGCCCAGCCUUAAACAUUGACAGUUAAUUACACCCACUGUCCGCCCGGGUACUACGAGCGCUAGCUUAAAACCCAAAGGACUUGGCGGUGCUUUAGACCCACCUAGAGGAGCCUGUUCUAGAACCGAUAAUCCCCGUUAAACCUCACCCUUCCUUGUUCUUUCCCGCCUAUAUACCACCGUCGUCAGCUUACCCUGUGAAGGCCCUAUAGUAAGCACAAUCGGCAAUGCCCAAUACGUCAGGUCGAGGUGUAGCGAAUGGAAGGGGAAGAAAUGGGCUACAUUUACUAAUAUAGUAAAUACGGAUGAUCACCCUGCAACGAGUAUCUGAAGGAGGAUUUAGCAGUAAGCAAAAAAUAGAGCGUUUUGCUGAAAUUGGCCCUGAAGCGUGCACACACCGCCCGUCACUCUCCCCGAACUAAGAUCUAAAACAUAACUAAUAUGCUAUAA
Molecule: ribosomal RNA, 453 nt
Filed under: Chaetodon kleinii (sunburst butterflyfish)
Lineage: Eukaryota; Metazoa; Chordata; Actinopteri; Chaetodontiformes; Chaetodontidae
Description: partial small subunit ribosomal RNA
Rfam family: Bacterial small subunit ribosomal RNA
Source: RNAcentral